CCUACGGGUGGCAGCAGUGGGGGAUAUUGCACAAUGGGGGGAACCCUGAUGCAGCGACGCCGCGUGGGUGAAUGAGCGUUUCGGCGCGUAAAGCCCUAUCGGCAGGGAAGAAGGUGACGGUACCUGAAGAAGAAGCCCCGGCUAACUACGUGCCAGCAUCCGCGGUAAUACGUAGGGGGCAAGCGUUAUCCGGGUUUACUGGGUGUAAAGGGGGCGCAGACGGCGAUGCAAGCCAGGAGUGAAAGCCCGGGGCCCAACCCCGGGACUGCUCUUGGAACUGCGUGGCUGGAGUGCAGGAGGGGCAGGCGGAAUUCCUGGUGUAGCGGUGAAAUGCGUAGAUAUCAGGAGGAACCCCGAUGGCGAAGGCGGCCUGCUGGACUGCAACUGACGUUGAGGCACGAAAGCGUGGGGAGCGAACAGGAUUAGAUACCCCGGUAGUC
RNAcentral lists this ribosomal RNA (440 nucleotides) under uncultured bacterium. Its description in RNAcentral is "partial 16S ribosomal RNA". It matches the Rfam family "Bacterial small subunit ribosomal RNA", at positions 338 to 795 of the family's 1533-position model. The record is from RNAcentral.